CGUAGGGUGCGAGCGUUGUCCGGAAUUAUUGGGCGUAAAGAGCUCGUAGGCGGUGUGUCGCGUCGAUCGUGAAAACUUUCAGCUUAACUGGGAGCUUGCGGUCGAUACGGGCAUCACUUGAGUUCGGCAGGGGAGACUGGAAUUCCUGGUGUAGCGGUGAAAUGCGCAGAUAUCAGGAGGAACACCGGUGGCGAAGGCGGGUCUCUGGGCCGAUACUGACGCUGAGGAGCGAAAGCGUGGGAGCGAACAGGAUU
RNAcentral lists this ribosomal RNA (254 nucleotides) under uncultured bacterium. Its description in RNAcentral is "partial 16S ribosomal RNA". It matches the Rfam family "Bacterial small subunit ribosomal RNA", at positions 526 to 779 of the family's 1533-position model. The record is from RNAcentral.